GGCACUGUGGCUUAGUAGGUUAAAGUUCCUGUCUCAUAAACAUUAGAUCCUAGGUUUAAAUUCCCGGCGGUGCCU
Molecule: non-coding RNA, 75 nt
Organism: Danionella cerebrum
Lineage: Eukaryota; Metazoa; Chordata; Actinopteri; Cypriniformes; Danionidae
Source: the annotation of a GenBank genome assembly